ACGCUCGACACCUACGGGAGGCNCCAGUGGGGAAUAUUGCACAAUGGGGGAAACCCGUGAUGCAGCGACGCCGCGUGAGCGAAGAAGUAUUUCGGUAUGUAAAGCUCUAUCAGCAGGGAAGAAACUGACGGUACCUGACCAAGAAGCACCGGCUAAAUACGUGCCAGCAGCUGCGGUAAUCUGAGCGGGCUGGCAAGGC
This 199-nucleotide ribosomal RNA is filed under the name uncultured bacterium. RNAcentral describes it as "partial 16S ribosomal RNA". It matches the Rfam family "Bacterial small subunit ribosomal RNA", at positions 328 to 539 of the family's 1533-position model. The record is from RNAcentral.